UACGAAGGGGGCUAGCGUUGCUCGGAAUCACUGGGCGUAAAGCGCACGUAGGCGGCUUUCUAAGUCAGGGGUGAAAUCCUGGAGCUCAACUCCAGAACUGCCUUUGAUACUGGAAAGCUUGAGUUCGGGAGAGGUGAGUGGAACUGCGAGUGUAGAGGUGAAAUUCGUAGAUAUUCGCAAGAACACCAGUGGCGAAGGCGGCUCACUGGCCCGAUACUGACGCUGAGGUGCGAAAGCUAGGGGAGCAAACGGGG
Molecule: ribosomal RNA, 254 nt
Filed under: uncultured bacterium
Lineage: Bacteria
Description: partial 16S ribosomal RNA
Rfam family: Bacterial small subunit ribosomal RNA
Source: RNAcentral